GUAAGGCUAGUGAAAGCCCCUAGGGUUCUUCAGCCUCAGCAGGACCAUGCUAAAGCAUUCCUGUCCCCAUCUGACAUACCAGCUCUAUGAUGGGUCUAGUAUAGAAUUGAGUUUAUUUGGGGCAUGGGAAAGAGUUGAGAAGAGAGUAGAUGCAGAGAGAGGGGACAAAAAAAAGAAAGAAAGAAAGAAAAAAGAGGAGACAUAGGGGGAGGGAGGGGGAGGGAGAGAAAGGAGAGGGAGAAAAAGAAAACAAAGAAGCCAGCCAGGAACCCAUGGAGAAGGGGAGGGGUAGAGGAAAGGAGAGAGAGGGAGAAAGGAGUCAGAAUGAGAGGAAAGGACCAGAGAGCAGAAAGGGUCAGAGAGUGGAGGGGCACCAAACAGUUCCUUCUAUAGCAAGCCAAGUCUACCUGACUGUUGUUGCUAGGUAACUGUUGGGCGGAGCCUAAAAGGAAUGCUAACAUGCUAAUACUUAAUGAUUUAACAAUGGCCUGUGCCUUACCUUCAGAAUUCCGAAAGGGCUCUCUCUGGUUAUAGACUGGGACUUUGCUUUCAGAUUCUAAAAGCUAAAGGAUGAGAAAAGCCUUGUAACCAGAGGGGACAAUAGUGAAAUCCCUGAGGCAAGCUGUUGAGGCUCUGGAGGCAAGAGGAUCAAUGGUAGAAAAUGUACACCAUUCUGACUGCUAUCCACAUGCUAAGCAACAGCUGGCUUAGCUGUACAGUAGAAAGCCAUGUACAAUAAGAAGCCACUAAGAGUUUUAAUAAGACUGCUGGAGUCUGAGAAAAUGAUCUGCAUUUCUAAAGAUCACUUUGUAAAGUAGAAGAUGGCUCUUGGGGAAAAUUGAAUUUGUAGAAGGUUGUAGUUGCCCAGUUUAUCUCUCAAGAGUACUUCUCAACAAACCUCCAGAGUCUAGCAUUCCAUCCAGAAGCAUAUGUCUGAGAAACUCAGCCAAAGACACCGGGUUACCAAAAGAGUAUCUAAAGAGACUCUUGAAGGUCCUGGUCAUGAAGGAGAAGAACACAGUAGAGACCAAAAAGUCUGUAAAGAACAUCCUCCAGGAGCCUUCCACAAUGAAUCUGCUGCUGAUACAUCCUCCACCCCUUUACCCCCUACCAUAGCCCUGUUCCCCUAGCCCCUCCACAGAGAUCUCCCUUGAACCUUUGCCCAACAUCCCUUUACCCCUUCUUCCUCCAGCCCCAGCAAGGGGAGAGCAUGAGGGGGGAACCUCAAAACUGGGACUGGCCACGGGGACCAAAAGCAAGAGAGCCACUUCACCUAAUACAAAAGUGACCCUCCCCCUCUGAGUCUACAGCCCAUAGAUGACAAUGGCAAUCAGGCCAUAUAAUAUUGGCCCUUCUCUUCUGCCAACUUGUACAAUUGGAAGGCACAACACCCCCUUCAGAUAAUCCCAAGGGGUUGAUUUUAUUUACUCAUCAUCCCACCUGGGAUGAUAUUCAACAACUCACGAGAGUGCUUUUCAUGACUGAAGAGUGAGAGAGGAUAAUGCAGGAAGCCAGAAAGAAUGUCCCCUUUGAGCAGGUUGUCAUCGACAGCAGAUUUCUCCUGACUAGACCUGGCUGGGACUUUAAUACAGCAGAAGGAUCACCUCUAUUCCUGAGAGGAAUAUGCUACUUUCUAUGUUGUUUAUCCCAAUGACUGUGCUUAGAUGACAUCAUCCAGAGAUGGUGGGAACCCUGGACAUAAUGCCAGAGUGUUUGCAAGGGGGCCCAGUGAAGAAACUGCCAAUAUGACCAUUCCAUGAUAUGGGUAAGUUUUUUCUUGUUAACAUGAGAGGAAAAACAACUGGAGGCAUCUGGAAGAGUGCAGAGCAGAGAGAGAAAGUAGACUGGAUGAAGCCGGAGAUAGAGAAGUAAGAAAGCAAAAGAGAACCGUGGAGAUAGCAAGAUAGCAAGAGAUAAAGAAUAGAGCAUGGCGAGUGAAAUAGAAUAAGAAAGAUUAAGUAGAAAGAAAGAUGAUAGAUGGAUGAUAGAUAAAUAAAUUGAUAGAUAGAUGAUUGUUAAUAGGGAGGGUGAGUAUCCGAAGCAGGAAAGGACCAGGAGACUGGUUUGGGGAUUUUGAAAUAUAUAGCAAGUGUUUAUGGAUAGGGACAGAGGGAGCCUGAAGCCUGGCAUGGGCUUUGACAUACAGUCACAGAUAUAGUCAGUGGAGAACCACAAUGUGCCUUCUGCUAGAGGUAAGGAAUGUGACUUCAUUUGUCAGGUGGGAACAGAUUCCACAGGUUCCUGUGGAAUGCUGGCUUUUAGCUGGUCUCCAGAAAUCCUGUAGUCCAGAUUGAGCUCAUUUCUGGAUAUAUGGACUACGUUUUGGAGUGUGGGGAGUUGGGGAAUUUUUCUUUUUACCUGCAUAAUAUAAGGUGCUGUGGAGUGGAGCUGAGAGACCAAACCUAUUCCAUCUUGAGGCAGGCCUCCAUUUUAAAAGAAAAAAUAAAUGCCUGAGAAUUUGACUUGCAGCUGAUCUCAAGCUGCACUCAAGUACCAGGAAGGACCCCAAGGCUUGUCCUUGGCCCAUACCCCAGAGUAACUACCAAGCUACUUCCUAGUAACAGUCAAUCAAAGAUUAGUCUGAUUGUUUCAGGUGUACUUUCAGACCAUUUGUAAUGUUCACAGUCUUGCUGCAGAACACCCAGCUGUUGGCUUACAAUAGCCAUCCUAUUAGAUACUUGCCAGACUGGACACCUCCUCACUCACUUCCAUUCCCUAUAGAACCUUGUCCUGUUGAAGGUUGAAUGACGCUCUGCCUUCCUUUCCUGCUGUGUCAGGGUUGGGUUGGAGGACAGCCUAAACUGUAGCUUGUAAUAAAGAAACUCUAAUGAGAUUACAUCAGAAAUGGCUGGCCUUCGGGGGUUUGUAAAUGCUUCUUGGCACAAGAGAGCAGGAGGGGAUGUCAGUUGGUACCUAAGAUUGGGCCCUGUGCUUCAGAGAGCUUCAAGGCCAUCUGGAUUUCUUGCUGAAGUUCUGACUUUAGCAAAAAUGUUUGGAAAGUACUGUUCCCUUUACCCCUGUGAUAUUUUUCUGCUCACUCUCCUUGACAAUUUACUUGUGAUUCGUUUUUCCAUCUUUAUGAUGCAUGGUCUAGCAAAUAGACACUGGGGUUGGGUAAAGGAGAUAAACCUUGAGUACUAGGUGUAACCUAGUGCUGACCCAUUGCCCACUCCUGUGUACAAUCAUUGAGCCUUGUUUGCAGUGAGAAGCCAAUAUCCUUGUCACUGUCAAUGUUUGCCUACAUGUAGUUCAAGGCAUUUCUGCAUAAUGAGUCCUCUUCCUCUCUGUCCUCCUCCCCUCUCAAUUAUCCGAGUUUAAUUUACAGUUCGGCUUACCUUUGUUAGUCUGUUUACACUCCCUAACAGCUUCCCAUUCAUCCAGUUCUUUCUCCAGGGGGUGUAAGCAGAUUGGCCAAUUAGCACUUCCUUUUUAACAAACAGAUAAAUAUAUCACUCUACUCAAGUAUGGAGGACACCUUGCCGUGAUGAGAUAAAUCAGAACUUCCCUAUAGAUUUUCCUUACCUGCAGUGAAUACAUCACUUGAAGCAAUUACAUCAAUAAUAAUAAUGUGCACACAGGCUCAUAUUUCAUGGUGGUGUCUCCUCUGGGAGGUUUGAUUUCUCCUUGGAGUCAAGGACUGUGGUACCUUGUGGGCUUUCUCAGUUUUUCUGGAGGUUGGAUGAGCUAUUUUGUUUAGUAAUUAUGAUGCAUGAAGAAUGUUGGUGAAAAGUGGGUAGAGAUAAAAAUGCCUGCUCUUUCAUAACUGUUUUCUCACCCCUCACACAUUUCCCAGAACUAUAUACAAACACAAAUUCUAAAAUACAAAAUUUUAUUUACUGUCUUUCUACAUCCCAAAUGAUUCUGACCCCUCCACUAAUUAGCUACUCAAGUAAAUUGGGUGAUAACUCUAAGAAUGCACAGUUAAUAUAUUAAGUUCUUAGUUUAUUCUAAAUAAUAAGUACCAUAUUUUACUCUGUAGUGCUCUUAUUUACAGUGUUACUUGCUAUAUAUUUUCAUGAAUUAGCAGUUUUCUGAGAUACUAAAUAGUCUUUGUUUAGCUGAGGAAUAAUAAUCAAGUUGACUUUUGAUGCUCUAGUAAUUCAUAGCUGUGUUGGUGAGGAUCCCAGCAUCAAACUGUGAUAUUUUCUUUCUCAAGACUAAUUUCAAAGUAGUAUUUCAAUUUAACUCUCACUAAGGCAUCCAAUUUGUACUUAAAAGGCAGUCAAUAUAGGUUAAUGAAAUAGUUUUAACCUAUCACUGGUGAGCUUUAUUGUAAUAAAACACUUCUCUUCUUACAAUGAAGCAUCAUGGAGCUAUAGGCACAGGGGUGUUAAAUGUGGUUGAAUUACAUGCCAAUCUAUGCCACUCUAACUCAAUGUAGAUGGGCCACAAAACUAAAUUAAGGGAUAAAUAACCUAAGAUACUUAUGAACAUAAGUAAGAGUACAAAUCAGAGAAAUAGGAAAGCCCAGAGAGGAAGUGGCAGGAACCUAGAAACCACUUCAUCUCAAAGUUUAUAAUGUAAAUUAGAAGGCAUGACAAAAGAGGGUGGCUGAGAAAGACUAAAGAUAGUUUGGGUUACAUUUUUGUAUUGUCUACUAUGGUAAGCUACUAAACUUUAGUUCCACCAUCUUAUCAAAGCAUUCUGAGAAAUGCUUUGAUUGAUAAACCUAUAUUGGAUAAAAACUGGUUUUCUCACAAAAGUCAUAAAUUCUUAUUGUAAACUGGUCUCUAUACAAGCCAUGAAUUCCUACGCAAUGUGACCAUGGACUGAAGGUUAACUUUCUGACUAUCUAACUGCUAUUGCUCUACUUCUGUGAACAACACUUGCUUGCAGCAGACAUCCAGAGCUGCCUUUCUAUGUCUGUCAGAAUUAUGAGUUUUGCCCUUAAUAAAUCUCAAACCAACUGGAGGUUGAGGCUGCUUCCUUCUAAUCUUCUUGGAGAAGUCCUGCCUGCAGCUAAGAGAGACCCGGUUUGACUUAUUCAGGCUUCUCUAGAAUUAUCUCUUCUGAUACUCCAUUAAUACCACCACUGUCAAUAGCACCAACAUGGCUCAGAAGUGUGGGAACUGCACAAAGCUCAAUUGGUUUAUUUCUUUAGUUUUACCAAAAAACAAAUGUAGAAUAAGAUAUGGGAAACACCCCUCUUUGUUGAUACCUAGGGACUCUACUUUUGGAAGACCUUUUGAAUCUCAGUAUCUAAUGACAGUAGGGCUGAUGUCCCAGUUUCUUUCUGGGCUCCACUUAACUAUUUAAAAACAUUUCUACCUCUCACUAAGUGUCCCUUUGUCUCAUAUGUCUUCUAUAGGUUCUCUCUGGCUCCAGGCAAAGAAAAGUCUAUACUUUAAAAGGCUUAUGUGAUUAGUAGAUAACUCAGGAUUUCUAUCUUAACCUCCCCAGUGAAAUUGAUAUUUGUAGACUCUUUUGCCCUGUAAUGAGACCAUUAACAGUUCCCAGGGGAUUAGAAAAUGGACCUACUUGAAGACCACUAAGCCUACCAUAUAGUAAUAGUAUAAUACUACCUUACACAUUCUACAGUACUGUUUACUGUAUACUGUCUACUGGGUAGUACAAACAGGGGGAAUCUUCCAUGAAGCAGGCAAAUGUGGGUAUACAUAGAGGGGUGAAGUGGGGACUGGUACAAGAAAAGCAAAGUGAUUCCCUGUCAAUAUAUGCCCACAACACCUUCAUAGACCCUCGAAGGAUAAACUCACGUCUCUUGUGUUUUCUCGUUUGCUCCUUGAAACUAGAGACCUGUCCUUUUGCUAAUUUAACUUUAACAUAGAUUUCUUCUUACUCUUCAUAUUAGGUGACUAGGUCCACCUCUAUUUGAAGUGUGAUUUAAGGAACGUGAUGAGGGCCAAUGGUAGCAAAUAACUCUGUAAGCACAGAUUGGGAAGAACAUUUUAACAUAACUCUUGUUAAGACUGGAAUUCCACCACAGAGACUAUUUCCUUUCCCUCCAUGUUUGCUGCUUCUCCCUUUGAGAACUCACACCACCUCAAAGCCCUCAGUAUCUGGAGUGGCUAUUUUUGGCAACGUUGAGAACUUCUAGGCUGAUAUAUAGUUGUCCAGCUUUCCCAGUCACCCCUGGUGCCUCUACAAUGUACAGAACUCACACACUGACUAAAGUUUUGGCCUCAGCUCACCAUGUAAGAGCUGUUUGCUUAAUGUAAGAGUGUUUAUUUAAUAUGACUAAGGUCUGAGUGCAUUAGUAUUAGUUUUAAAGAAGAUACUUGUUCUGAAAGUCACUUCCUCUAAACUGGAUCAUUUUAAUACAACUUCUUUGUAGCUCAAUAUCUUCUUCCACCAAAUAGAGAGACAAUCAUUCAUAGUUCUCUGCCUUCUGGAUUCCUGCUACAUCUUGCCUAGACUUUCAUGAGCAUAUGUAUCUCCCCCCACUCACUUAUAUAAUUAUUAUCUAUUUUCAUGAUAAUUUCAUUAGGUGAUAAACUAUGUCUUUUCAGUUUUGUGUCAUACACUGAGUUAUCUUGACAUGAACAAUCAAUAGACAAAAUAUGAUUGUGUAGGUAAGUGUUUGGAAGUUAAUUACUUAAUAAUAAUAAAUGACUAUGAAUACAUAAUUUUUCUUCUCAAAAUUAUUGCAGUGCAUAGUAGCUUAUUAAAUUAAAUCAACUUGAUCAAUUUCAAAACCCUGAUGUAAUUUUAUGUAUGCAUUUGCCAUGGUAGUGUGUUUGUUUGUGUGUGUGUGUGUGUGUGUGUGUGUGUGUGUGUGUGUGUGUGUAAAUCAGAGAACAACCUUGGAGCAUUGGUUCUUUUCUUCAACUACAUGGAAUAGAGCUCAGGCUUGAGAGUAAGUCCCUUUACCUACUAAACCAUUUCACUUUCCUUUUUUAAUUUUUUUAUUUUGCAUUUGUAUUUCAAACAGAUAUAUAUUUUUUACAUGUGCAUGUAAAAUUAGAAGACAUUGGCAAUUGGGAUCCCUUCCAUUGAUCUUUCAUGUAUUCUACUCUUCCCCUUUCAUUGAGUAGCAGCUUCUGUAUCUAUCUUGUGGCUCAGUGUCAGGGUUCCUUCUAUGACCGCAGGGAUCCAGGUUCUAACUUGAAGUCAUUGCUUCUCUUCGUACUUUCAUUAGUUAUUCAUCAUACAAUGUCUUCCAAGACCUCUUCUCUUGAUAUUUAACAUCUGAAAUGUUUUAUGUCUUAUCAAUUAUUCAAAUACAUUUUGAACAACUUCUAAAGUUCUGGGAAGGUCAGAACCAUCACAGCCUUAGUAUAGGAGCUCACUGUUUGAAGGGGAAGGCCUAUGGUUUAACUAAUACUGUACUAUCUACAUGGCUAGUUAUUGCAAGGGACAGAGAGAGGAUUGUAGGAGCUCAAAGCAAAGGGAUUUUUAUUCAUUGAACACCUUGCAUUUAGUAGGUGCUCAUUAUACACGAAUUGAAAGUGUCCACAAUUUCCCCUUGAGUCUAACAAAUCCAUGUAAUUGAAAAUGAACACUAUGGUGGGGUUACUUCUUCUUGAGUUUAGACCAAGCACCACUGAAAAUUCUUAAGACAUCAUGCAGACUGAUGGGCUUUCUCUUUCCUUAGUUGACACCUCUAGCACUGCCCUUGCCAGCUAUAUCUUCUCCCCAACGUCUUCAACAUCUUGUUACAGAAUUAGGACUAUUGUUCUGAUAAUAGCUAAAACUCCCUACUGAAGCAACCGUAGGUACACAGGGCUCUGUCGCUACUGAGGGGUACUCUUUGUCUUUGUUGCAGCAUUCUCCUAUGUAGAUAUUUUUUGCCUUAUUGGCUAAUGUAGAAUUAGACAAAAAUCUAAAACAGAACCAGACCUGAUUUUUCUAACAGAGAAGAAUUUUAGGAGUGAGUGAAACAAACCAAACUAUUUUCCUUUUCAUUCUCAGUUGCCCUGAAAUUCUGAUUAUGUUAUGAAGGAUUAAAGGAGAUGUUAUAGGCAUUUCUAAAAGUUCCACAGAUGUGUAAGAGAUCAGUUCUGGGGUCCACGAUUGAAGUCUCAGGUGCCAGAUGGUCAUCUUUGGUGGAUGAAGCUUUUAAACUUCUCUCUCUUCUUCAACUCUCCCUGUUCUCCUUAAAGCCCCAAGUACAUUCAUAUAGGGCCAAGGACAGUGUGCCUUCUAGCUCAGUGUCAGUCGCUGCACCUUCCAGAAAUAGCAGAGGAGGGGAAGAAUUAGAUGGCUCUGAUCUUUUGCUCUUGACAAGCUUCCUUGUGCAUGAUGAAAUAUAAAUAGAAUAAACCACGAUUCACUAUUAAACCUGGAAGAGAAAUGACACCGAGAUUCAUAAAUUACUGUUAAAUGUAUUUUCUGCAGUGAUUGCAAGAUCAGGGGAUGGGGUGAGGUGGAGGGGUGCUCACUCCCCUGGAGUUAACAGUGACAAAUAGUCUCAGAAGAAUCAUGUCAUCCAGUGUUCUAUGACAACACUAAGAAAAACAUUAAAAUAUUUUGUAUAAUCAUGAACGUAGUGUUUGGUGAAGGGGCUUUCUUCCCUUGUGCCCCUAAAAAAAAAAAUCACAUGUUCUCAUAAUUGCCUGAACUUCUUGACAUACUAAUUAACUCUGAUUUAAAAUAGCCAUUAUUUUCAGUUAAGCUUAGUGAACAUUGUCUAAUAUUAUGUGACCAUUAAUAUGACUAGAGAAAAAUGAGAUAAGAAAAAGAAGAAGGGAGUAAUUAAGAUGAGUAAUUUGGUAACAAAGUUGAACUAGAACAGGUUGGUGACUCUGCAGCAUGUGAUAAUGUACAUUAUCAGCAUAAUUUAUGUUUCAAACUGAAAGACUUUACUUGUCCCCAGGCCCUUUUAUGUGAGAGUUUUGUCAUUUUAGUUAUUGGUAAAUGGAGUGAGAGAUUUCAGAAUGAGGCUCGAGAAUGUUGAAUGUUUUAUAAAGAUUCAGGGUGCACUUAGCAGAGUAUGGUAGGGUAGGGUAGGGUAGGAGAUGGAUUUGGUAAAAUACAAUACAUCCACUCAAGGUACAAUGUGUUUUCUAUUCUAUCCCACCCUUCUUCCCUCUUUUCCUCCCUCCCCUUCCUUCCACCUUUCUUGCUUUAGCUUUUUUGAGAUAUCUUGUUAUUAUAUAGGUCAGACUGACCCCAAACUUUUGAUUUUCUUACCUCAGUCUUCCAACUAGGUAUGUACAACAUGUCCAUUAUUUCCUUGUUCUAAAAAUGAAAAUGAUCUCCUGCCAUGUCUGUGACACCUACAUCUUCUGUGAUGAUAAAAAUUAGCAUUUUUAUUUGAGUCAUGAAGUAUUUCUCAUGAUGACAACACCCUUCCCCAUGCAAAUGGAGAUGUGGGAGACUGAAUGCCUUAUCUGCAUGGCUCUGCCUUCUGAAUAUAAGCUCAUUCAUUUAUUCAUUGAGUAAGGCCUGUUUUCACGUGUUAAAAUUAUCAUAAUUGUUGGACAUUAGCCAGUAGAUGAGAGAGACAAAUCUCAACCCCAAAAGAAUAUACAUUCUAAUUGCACAAAUCACAAAAUAAGUUAGUAAACACAGAAAUAAUAUGAUAUCACACAAUGAUAAAUAGAGUGAAACAGAAAAGCAGAACGCUGUCUUAGGAAAGAAGUGGGAAACAUCCUUAAAUAGAAAUGUUGGGGGGAAAAGUUAGUAUAUAAGCCAAAGCCUGAAUGAUUGGAUGAACUGUGUAUCAGUCAACAUUUUGCCAUUGUUACAAGUAUCUGAGACAAUCAAGUUAUGAAGAAAAAAGGUUUAUUCUAGUUCACAUUUUGGCCUUAUUUCUUUGGCCUAUGGCAGUGGGGGCAUGUGUCACCUUGAACAUUUUAUCUUGUGGCUGAGAACAAAAGAAAGAAAGGAAGAAUAAUCCAUCCCCUUUGAGGGCAAACCACCAGUGACUUCACAGUUCCUCCUAGGUGCCGUCUUUGAAAAGUUGUACUGAAUACCAAUGCUACCAAGCCGAAGACUAAGGCAUUCUAGACCUGAGCUAUGGCAAGCAUGUUAUGAUGGGAGAAUUCCCAGGCUAGAAUAAAGAUUUGCAGGGCAUCAUAAUCCUGGUGUGUUCAGAGAACAAGCAGGAGGCAGAAACAUUGGAGGACAGGAACUAGCAAGGAUAAAUGCAAGAGUGAUAUUCCAGAGAAGCAGAUGAUGGAAGAGUUCCUUGACUACAGUAAAACUUAGUCCCAGAGCAUAGGCAGCAGAGAACAACACAGUCUGACAGUCACCAUCAAUUGUCCCCUGGGGAAGAGCUGGUUCAAGAGACUGUAGUGGUUACUAGCCCAAACAAGUGGGGAUGGAGAGAGAAAGACAUUUCUGGGUCCAGAAAGUAAGUGAGAGAGCCAGAGCCCGUGGGUCUUGGGUGGGCAAAAGUGGCAAUAUUCCUUACCAUUUAGGCCAAAGCCACAGAGGGUGGUGAUUGGAACAGAGAGGAGAGAAGGAUGAAGACUGGUGUUAGUUGGCAGUAGGAGGAGAAAUGUACAGUGAACCCAAAAGGUAGGUGUGUGUGUGUGUAUGUGGUGUGUGUGUGUGUGUGUGUGGUGUGUAUGUGUGUGUGGUGUGUGUGUGUGUGUGUGUGGUGUGUGUGUGUGUGUGUGUGGUGUGUAUGUGUGUGUGGUGUGUGUGUGUGUGGUGUAUGUGUGUGGUGUGUGUGUGUGGUGCGUAUGUGUGUGUGGUGUGUAUGUGUGUGUGGUGUGUAUGUGUGUGGUGUGUGUGUGUGUGUGUGUGUGUGUGUGUGUGUGUGGUGUGGUGUGUGUGUGUGUGUUCCUGCACACAUACAGGUAGAUUCCAAGGCUUGACAGUGAAUGUCUUCCUUGAUUGCUCCCUGCUUUACUUUUUUUGAAGCAAAUUUUCUCACUGAAUCUGGAAACCAUCCAUUUGACUUGGCAAUAUAUCUUUUGAGAUCAAGGGAUCUACCUGUUUCUGCAUCUCCAAACUACCCCCAGUGCUGGGGUUCGUUAUAGACAGACCACUGUACCUGAUCUGAACUAAUCAUAAUUACGUGCUGUGUACUUUAUCCCUUAUAUAUGGAAUAGGUUUGGUUCCAGGUAUUAACUGAGUAAGUAGAAGCAGUUUAAACAAUUUGGGCUGGUGUUCUCCACAUUGCAUGCCCUACAGAGAUAUGUGCACAAAGCUGGCUUCAGUGAAGCUUUGAACUCUUUGUGGUUCUUUAUUAUGGCACCCUUAACUUGUUGAUUGCAGCCUGAACGUACAAUAGCGUGGUUGUUACUACAGCUCUAGGAGAUUGUAUGUGCUGUGAGUGGUAUCAAGAACAUGUAUACUUCAUUACUGACAUAGGGUCUCAGGGAUCCAGGUAACUUCAGACUUGCUAUGUGACUAGAGAUUGUCAGACCCACCUGGGUCCCAUCAGUGUUUGACCCCUCCUGAGCCUUGCUGAUGCAUGUGGAAGCCUUUUGUUCCUAACAAAGGACCAUCCUGACCUUUCUGCUUGGCCUGAGUGGUACACCUAGGUGGUACACCUGCGCGGUAACAUUGUUAAGUCAGUUCCUGUUUUUUGUUCCCUGUUUUUUGCUCUUGAGGGCCUAAGCCUGUUUUCCACUAUGCUUCCUGGAAUUUUCCACCCAGUGGACUUGGUAUAUAUAUAUAUAUAUUCUGUGAACCUCAGUAAAGCUUUGGCAUUCUUGUAACACGAAUGACUUGAAUAUGUGUUUUUUUCUUAAACCUUACAGGCCUACGCCUGGUUCUUGGUACCAUGGCACCCACAAAAGAUGACUUUGAAUUCCUAAUCCUCCUUCUCUGUCUCUGAAACUCUGAGAUUGGAGUCUUGUCCCAUCAUGCUGGGUUUAUGCCAUGUUAAGGAACAAAGUUAAGGAUUCAUACAAUGCUAAGCAAAUAUUCUCCUUGCUGACCCACAUCCACUGUCCAUACUGACCAUUUUCAUCAACAAAGCAAAGAUUUCAGUAGCUAUUGUCAUCAAAGAUUCCCAUGCAGUCUCUUAUUGGAACCGAGUUACAGGAUAACUCUCACUGCGAGAGAGGUUGGAAACAGGGAUUUUUAGCUGAUCUCCUGUAUACACUCAGCAUUGUUAGCAAAGGAGACGGGCUACUUAAUGAAGCACUGGCAGCUCUCAAACAUGAUACCCUACAUGUCAAUUUAGGAGGGUUGGAGCAGGUAAAGCUGGAGAGACACAUUCUAAAGCCAGAUGGAAUUAAAUGACAGCAAGUAUAGACAGCAGACAGAAUUCAAGUCUGAACUAAGAAGAGGCUCUUAUUCCUCCUCCAUUUUUAAAACAUGCCAUUUUCUAUCUACCUGGUAGUUGAUUAACGUAAGCAGCAGACUGGGCCACCCUUCAGGGAAGGGAGAGACAUCCCUUCAGGGAACUGUCUAUGCUAUGGAUUAACUCAUGAAAUUGAGCAUAAUUACAAAUGCCUUCCUUUUGUAGAAUGCCCUAUUUUCCUUUAUAUGGAGGCUGCAGGUAUUCCUCCGGUCAGGAGGGUUCUUUUUUCAUGAAGUCAUCAGUUUACACCCUACGCCUUAUUUCUAUCCUGCUUCAAGCUCCCUCUGUCAUAGGGCAGAGCUAGAGGGGAUGAUGGCCCUAGUUCUUCUGAACUUGGGGACAAUACAAUGUGUCACUCCCCGUUGUGGAAAUUAUCAUUAAUUAUGAGCAGGAACGUCUUUGACAUGAUGUAGUGUUUUUAUUGUCAGAGCCAAGAAUGGGCUGAUAAUUAAUGGAUGCCCCUUAGAAUAUGACAUGACAAAGCUCAGUAUGGAAAAGAUCAGAACUUUUUUUAUGGAAAGGCACAGAAUGUUGAAUACCCUAGAAUUUCUCAAUGUUAAGUCUCCCUCGCCCUAUCCCUCCCUCUCACUCCCUCUUUUCCCCUUCUCUCUCUCUCUCUCUCUCUCUCUCUCUCUCUCUCUCUCUCUCUCACACACACACACACACACACACACACACACACACACAUACACACACACAC
This is a non-coding RNA of Rattus norvegicus (Norway rat), 12863 nucleotides long. NCBI's taxonomy places the organism in Eukaryota, Metazoa, Chordata, Mammalia, Rodentia, Muridae. The record is from RefSeq and is a predicted model, not a curated record.